GACGAACGCUGGUGGCGUGCUUAACACAUGCAAGUCGAACGCUGAAGCUCAGCUUUUGUUGGGUGGAUGAGUGGCGAACGGGUGAGUAACACGUGAGUAACCUGCCCCCUUCUUUGGGAUAACGCCCGGAAACGGGUGCUAAUACUGGAUAUUCACUGGUCUUCGCAUGGGGGUUGGUGGAAAGGGUUUUUCUGGUGGGGGAUGGGCUCGCGGCCUAUCAGCUUGUUGGUGGGGUGAUGGCCUACCAAGGCUUUGACGGGUAGCCGGCCUGAGAGGGUGACCGGUCACAUUGGGACUGAGAUACGGCCCAGACUCCUACGGGAGGCAGCAGUGGGGAAUAUUGCACAAUGGGCGCAAGCCUGAUGCAGCGACGCCGCGUGAGGGAUGGAGGCCUUCGGGUUGUGAACCUCUUUCGCUCAUGGUCAAGCCGCAACAAUGGUUGUGGUGAGGGUAGUGGGUAAAGAAGCGCCGGCUAACUACGUG
RNAcentral lists this ribosomal RNA (483 nucleotides) under uncultured bacterium. Its description in RNAcentral is "partial 16S ribosomal RNA". It matches the Rfam family "Bacterial small subunit ribosomal RNA", at positions 28 to 507 of the family's 1533-position model. The record is from RNAcentral.